GUGAAGUCACCAAAAUGGUGAGUGUUAGACCAAUGUUAGGACUUAAAUCAUUAGUUGUACCGUGAGAAAGAUAGUGGAUCAUUGCUUUAGGCAAGACCCUGCAGACGCAGAUUGAGGUCGAAUUGCAUAAACGAUCUCGAUGUUCAUCUUUACAUUUUCACCCUUUUUGUGGGGUGUGCCUUGUAUUUUUGGUCGAAUAGACGACGACAUCACAAC
This 216-nucleotide long non-coding RNA is filed under the name Gossypium barbadense (sea-island cotton). RNAcentral describes it as "long non-coding RNA (GBAR_LNC010673)". The record is from RNAcentral. Lineage: Eukaryota; Viridiplantae; Streptophyta; Magnoliopsida; Malvales; Malvaceae.